GGGACCUCCAACAUAUGCCUCCCUAACUGAGGACCCCCUAACAGAGCAGGUUUUCCCAUUGAUGUGUUCCAGACAGGUCUCAAGGAGAAGCAUAUCUUGUUUACUGGUUUGAUUUAGUGGUCUACAAAGCCUCCUGCCACUGCCACCUCCUGAGCUCUCUGAGUCAGCUCAGUGAUCGAAGAGGCACUCAAAGUCCUGGGGCUCACUCUAAGCCCUCAGUAACUAGAAAACUAGAUAAUAACAUUUUUAAUGUUUAGUGCCAUAUCUCACCUCUUUUACACUAUCUGCUGUUCCUGAACAGGAUGAGAUGGCUCCAGGAAACAACACCACAAAGUUAUCAGCGUGAAGUGGAUGAUGAUGUGGUGUCAUUCCCAGAAAGUCUUCUGCUGUUGCUAUCUCGUGAUGCAUCUUGACAGUGUGAUGGCAUCCCGCAGCUCUCUGUGCAUCUUCAGAUCUGGACAGGCCUUGACAAGUCUGAUCCUUGGAAUGGAUUCACUACAGAUGCCUGGGAGAUGAGAGAAGUGCUAACUGGCAUGAGCCUGGCAAGACAUUCCUAUACAGAGCGUUGGACAGGCCAUCCUCUUCUGUGAAUGCAGAUCCUGAAAGAUGGUGUGUCCUUGCAGUCAGUCACAGAGUAGAGAUGCUCUGUAAGCCUGUGCUCUGUGAAUUCACUGGCGUCAUUUGGACUACGUUGAUGUGCACCAGUGGAGGACCUGACUCACCCUCUGGUGGCUGCUGUGUGAGCGAUCCGACAACCCUUCCUCUCUGUGCCCCAGGAGGGAGUUUUGCAGCAGAUGUGGGGGACGUCGCGUUGGCGUUGGCACUGAGGUCAUUCUGCAUGCUCGAUGUACUCCCAUUGCAAAAGGGAAACACUAUAAAGGCCAAACAACAAAUUAGUGGAAAUUUCAGUUAG
This 913-nucleotide long non-coding RNA is filed under the name Phasianus colchicus (ring-necked pheasant). Its description in RNAcentral is "lncRNA (ENSPCLG00000009091.1)". Lineage: Eukaryota; Metazoa; Chordata; Aves; Galliformes; Phasianidae. The record is from RNAcentral.